GUGGGACAACGCCGUCAUGUCUCAGCAAAAAAGAUACGUGCAAACAUGAAAAACGCCCUCUCACGUUUUUACUCCAGUUGAAACGUGUUAUGUGAUUAUAAAGGGGAAUUUCUUUCAGGGAUGAAAUUCUCUCUUCGUAAACCAAAAAUUUACUCGCCCAUCAUUGAAUAGAUUAGUCAGUCUUUAGUACAAGGUUAUAGCCUUGGAUUGCUUUAUCUUGAAUGAAGAAGGCUACAACCCUGGAUUGCUUUAUCUGGAAAGAGUUGUGUGCAGACGCACCUGUCUUUUCAAGUGCUUUGUUUUGAACAUUAAGGCAAAAAUACUAAAGAACCAAGAUGGCAGAUAUUGGAAAAGCAAUUGUGGCAACAAAAAUCUUGUGCCUUAAGCUGAAUUCUCAGAUCCACCAACAGGAUACAAGAUUUGAAGAUUGAGGAUGAUACUGUUUUCAAGCAAACUUUGUGAUGGACAUAGAAUUAGGGUUUAAAUUUUAGCAAGUUUUGAUCCAUUUUGAGCUAAUUUAGUUCGAUUUACAAGAUUUUUUGUACAUAACAAAUAUACGAUCAUCAAAGUAAAAUGAGUUUUAUA
This is a long non-coding RNA of Capsicum annuum, 585 nucleotides long. RefSeq lists it as uncharacterized. Lineage: Eukaryota; Viridiplantae; Streptophyta; Magnoliopsida; Solanales; Solanaceae. The transcript has 2 exons. The record is from RefSeq and is a predicted model, not a curated record.